UGUGGAGCGGCGAUGUGUUCGCAUUGGCCAUUAGAUCAUUAUAUUUUUGCCAUUUAAUAACAGAUUUCCGUCAAAACAAACAGAAGUAGCUGCUAGCUGGGACAUCGAUGACUCAUCACAGUAAUGCCAGGGGUUAAUCUAAAUUCAUUGCGGCGACUGUCACGUAGCCCCAUGAGGCAAAUGACGACGACUGGCGACGCUGGUUCCAAGUGCGAUUAGCUGACAACACUUUGGAACGAGCGAUUCGAUUAACUAGAUAAUGAUGAACAUCUUGAAUGAUGAAUGAUUGUUUGGCUAAUUAGCCGCUAGGUCUAGACACUAGACCCAACCGACUCCACUAUCCAUAUUUUACUGUCAACCCAACUAUAAUAAAAACAAAACAAAAAAUAUAA
Molecule: long non-coding RNA, 392 nt
Organism: Drosophila grimshawi
Lineage: Eukaryota; Metazoa; Arthropoda; Insecta; Diptera; Drosophilidae
Exons: 2
Source: RefSeq, a predicted model, not a curated record